This 486-nucleotide ribosomal RNA is filed under the name Aeromonas sp. A1. RNAcentral describes it as "bacterial SSU rRNA". It matches the Rfam family "Bacterial small subunit ribosomal RNA", at positions 35 to 508 of the family's 1533-position model. Lineage: Bacteria; Pseudomonadati; Pseudomonadota; Gammaproteobacteria; Aeromonadales; Aeromonadaceae. The record is from RNAcentral.
GCUGGCGGCAGGCCUAACACAUGCAAGUCGAGCGGCAGCGGGAAAGUAGCUUGCUACUUUUGCCGGCGAGCGGCGGACGGGUGAGUAAUGCCUGGGGAUCUGCCCAGUCGAGGGGGAUAACAGUUGGAAACGACUGCUAAUACCGCAUACGCCCUACGGGGGAAAGGAGGGGACCUUCGGGCCUUUCGCGAUUGGAUGAACCCAGGUGGGAUUAGCUAGUUGGUGGGGUAAUGGCUCACCAAGGCGACGAUCCCUAGCUGGUCUGAGAGGAUGAUCAGCCACACUGGAACUGAGACACGGUCCAGACUCCUACGGGAGGCAGCAGUGGGGAAUAUUGCACAAUGGGGGAAACCCUGAUGCAGCCAUGCCGCGUGUGUGAAGAAGGCCUUCGGGUUGUAAAGCACUUUCAGCGAGGAGGAAAGGUUGGCGCCUAAUACGUGUCAACUGUGACGUUACUCGCAGAAGAAGCACCGGCUAACUCCGUGC